Molecule: ribosomal RNA, 324 nt
Filed under: uncultured Bacillota bacterium
Lineage: Bacteria; Bacillati; Bacillota
Description: bacterial SSU rRNA
Rfam family: Bacterial small subunit ribosomal RNA
Source: RNAcentral
GACGAACGCUGGCGGCGUGCUUAACACAUGCAAGUCGAGCGAUGAAGUCCCUUCGGGGACGGAUUAGCGGCGGACGGGUGAGUAACACGUGGGCAACCUGCCUCAAAGAGGGGGAUAGCCUCCCGAAAGGGAGAUUAAUACCGCAUAACAUUAGAGCAUCACAUGAUGUUUUAAUCAAAGGAGUAAUCCGCUUUGAGAUGGGCCCGCGGCACAUUAGCUAGUUGGUGAGGUAACGGCUCACCAAGGCAACGAUGCGUAGCCGACCUGAGAGGGUGAUCGGCCACAUUGGAACUGAGACACGGUCCAGACUCCUACGGGUGGCUG